RNAcentral lists this ribosomal RNA (509 nucleotides) under Phoma sp. PHY-48. RNAcentral's name for it is "eukaryotic LSU rRNA". The stretch from base 153 to 306 matches the Rfam family "5.8S ribosomal RNA". Lineage: Eukaryota; Fungi; Ascomycota; Dothideomycetes; Pleosporales; Didymellaceae. The record is from RNAcentral.
GAAGGAUCAUUACCUAGAGUUGUAGGCUUUGCCUGCUAUCUCUUACCCAUGUCUUUUAAGUACCUUCGUUUCCUCGGCGGGUUCGCCCGCCGAUUGGACAAAUUUAAACCCUUUGCAGUUGCAAUCAGCGUCUGAAAAAACAUAAUAGUUACAACUUUCAACAACGGAUCUCUUGGUUCUGGCAUCGAUGAAGAACGCAGCGAAAUGCGAUAAGUAGUGUGAAUUGCAGAAUUCAGUGAAUCAUCGAAUCUUUGAACGCACAUUGCGCCCCUUGGUAUUCCAUGGGGCAUGCCUGUUCGAGCGUCAUUUGUACCUUCAAGCUCUGCUUGGUGUUGGGUGUUUGUCUCGCCUUUGCGUGUAGACUCGCCUUAAAACAAUUGGCAGCCGGCGUAUUGAUUUCGGAGCGCAGUACAUCUCGCGCUUUGCACUCAUAACGACGACGUCCAAAAGUACAUUUUUACACUCUUGACCUCGGAUCAGGUAGGGAUACCCGCUGAACUUAAGCAUAU